RNAcentral lists this ribosomal RNA (441 nucleotides) under uncultured bacterium. RNAcentral describes it as "partial 16S ribosomal RNA". It matches the Rfam family "Bacterial small subunit ribosomal RNA", at positions 338 to 795 of the family's 1533-position model. The record is from RNAcentral.
CCUACGGGUGGCAGCAGUCGGGAAUAUUGCGCAAUGGAGGAAACUCUGACGCAGCGACGCCGCGUAUAGGAAGAAGGUUUUCGGAUUGUAAACUAUUGUCGUCAGGGAAGAGAAAGGACAGUACCUAAGGAGGAAGCUCUGCUUAACUACGUGCCAGCAGCCGCGGUAAUACGUAGGGAGCGAGCGUUAUCCGGUUUUAUUGGGUGUAAAGGGUGCGUAGACGGGAAUGCAAGUUAGUUGUGAAAUCCGUCGGCUUAACUGAGGAACUGCAACUAAAACUACAUGUCUUGAGUGCAGGAGAGGUAAGUGGAAUUCCUAGUGUAGCGGUGAAAUGCGUAGAUAUUAGGAGGAACACCAGUGGCGAAGGCGGCUUACUGGACUGUAACUGACGUUGAGGCACGAAAGUGUGGGGAGCAAACAGGAUUAGAUACCCGAGUAGUC